AGAGUUUGAUCCUGGCUCAGAACGAACGCUGGCGGCAGGCUUAACACAUGCAAGUCGAACGGUCUCUUCGGAGGCAGUGGCAGACGGGUGAGUAAUGCAUGGGAAUCUACCGUUCUCUACGGAAUAACUCAGGGAGACUUGUGCUAAUACCGUAUACGCCCUUUUGGGGAAAGAUUUAUCGGAGAAUGAUGAGCCCAUGUUGGAUUAGCUAGUUGGUAGGGUAAAGGCCUACCAAGGCGACGAUCCAUAGCUGGUCUGAGAGGAUGAUCAGCCACACUGGGACUGAGACACGGCCCAGACUCCUACGGGAGGCAGCAGUGGGGAAU
RNAcentral lists this ribosomal RNA (326 nucleotides) under uncultured bacterium. Its description in RNAcentral is "bacterial SSU rRNA". It matches the Rfam family "Bacterial small subunit ribosomal RNA", at positions 8 to 362 of the family's 1533-position model. The record is from RNAcentral.